This is a long non-coding RNA of Syngnathus typhle (broad-nosed pipefish), 308 nucleotides long. RefSeq lists it as uncharacterized. The transcript is spliced from 3 exons. The record is from RefSeq and is a predicted model, not a curated record. NCBI's taxonomy places the organism in Eukaryota, Metazoa, Chordata, Actinopteri, Syngnathiformes, Syngnathidae.
GCCCUUUCUUUCUGCCGUGCACUUGGAGCACGGCACGGCCGCCAUUCUGCGUCCUUCCCCCUCUCACUCCGUCCUUACGUCGACUGAGUCAAAAGAAGUGGACGGAGCCUCCCGGACCGAAAAGGCAAGCUCCAGAGUGAGGAUAAUCCUGAUAUGUGAAAAAUCCUGUGGAUGCUGUAAAGUAAUGAGAAAAUGCUCGCGAGAGAGGGACGGAGGGAGGGAGGACAUCUGCAUCGUGUCAGAGAGUUGGGCCGGUGACUCCGGGCCAAUAGAGGGUGCUGCUGGACCACAUUACCUCAAAUGAAAAG